This 462-nucleotide ribosomal RNA is filed under the name uncultured bacterium. RNAcentral describes it as "bacterial SSU rRNA". It matches the Rfam family "Bacterial small subunit ribosomal RNA", at positions 150 to 607 of the family's 1533-position model. The record is from RNAcentral.
UUGGAAACGGAAGCUAAUACCGCAUAACGUCUUCGGACCAAAGUGGGGGACCUUCGGGCCUCAUGCCAUCAUAUGUGCCCAGAUGGGAUUAGCUAGUAGGUGGGGUAACGGCUCACCUAGGCGACGAUCCCUAGCUGGUCUGAAAGGAUGACCAGCCACACUGGAACUGAGACACGGUCCAGACUCCUACGGGAGGCAGCAGUGGGGAAUAUUGCACAAUGGGCGCAAGCCUGAUGCAGCCAUGCCGCGUGUAUGAAGAAGGCCUUCGGGUUGUAAAGUACUUUCAGCGAGGAGGAAGGCAUUAAGGUUAAUAACCUUAGUGAUUGACGUUACUCCCAAAAAAAGCACCGGCUAACUCCGUGCCAGCAGCCGCGGUAAUACGGAGGGUGCAAGCGUUAAUCGGAAUUACUGGGCGUAAAGCGCACCCAGGCGGUCUGUCAAGUCGGAUGUGAAAUCCCCGGG